GCUAAAUGUUUGACAGGAGGAAGAAUUCUGUGUGAAGCUUGUUGCACCAUUGCAGCACAAUCAAAUAAUGAGGCCACGUUUUGGCUACUGCUUUAGCUUCAAUCAAAGCUGAGGAGGGAAUUUUAAAAAUAUAUUAUCUUUUCUAGAGAGGUCCAGGAUAAUAAUCUUUUAUUAAACAGAAAAACUGCUAAUUAAGAUUCACAUAUAAUAAUGUAAAUGAAUGAAUUCUUGAACGCUCAAAGUUAUUGCCUUGCACUUUAACCUUUAACCCUUCCUGCUCCCCUCUUGUAGUUUUGCACUCCAGAACUAUUCACCCUAACCUAGUGGCUGUCUGGUGCAGGAGUGGGAUUUUUGUUUGUUUGUUUUUUUAAACUCUGGUGGUAAACUAGAGAAAGAGACUAAGUUUGUCAUGAGCAACAUGACUGACACUUUCUAUAUUGUAUCUGAAAUCCAACGCAAUGGUAUAAUUGUGAUUCACCUCACAAAGCCAUAACUGGUCUUAUUGAAGUUUAGGGCUGCUUAGCCACUUAAUGUUAGAUUAGCUUAAAAUAUAUAAAUAUAUAAACAAAAUAUUAAAUGACUUUUCAAAAUCUAAAAGAUUAGAGAAUAUUUUCACUUUAACAUGUUGAAAGUAGAUACUUGAAUCCACAGUUGUAUUAACAAUUUGAGCAAAUUAAAACUCCAUGAAUAUUUGAUUUAUAUUUGAAGUUUAUGUCCAUGAAAAUAACGACUUGCUUGCUUAAAAAAAUACAGAUCAUAAAUCUAUUUUAUAUUCUAUGGUGUGUGUUACUUAGAUAGCAAUCUGAUAGCUUUGGAUAAAAUUAUGUGAGGAUAUUCUGGUGAGAUAAUAAGGGUGCUUUACUUGCCACUCUACCUUAAGGGCCUGAUACAACUCACUCAAGUCCAUAUUAUCCUUACUGGCAAGUCCUCUGAAUUUUGCAUCAUAAUGUCAAUGUCAUUAAAAUCAAGCACUGAUGUCAGCAGAACAUUUUCAAGAAACAUUGAAUUUGAAAUGUGUGUUUUUCCAGGUGGUUUCAUUCCUACGCUGUGACUUUUUAUAACGUAACGCAAAGAUUCAAUCUGAAUUCCUCCAUUGCUAAUCAACUGAUGGAGUUAAUUCAGGUGGGGAUGAUUAUGCACGUGUCUCUGUCAUGGGGAUGGACCUUUAUCUUCUACCUGGGUUCAGAAUGACAGAGAGGAUAAGAUGAACAAGCACUGAGUGGUCCUCGGACCUUUUCAAUAUGAGUUGUCCAGACUUUGUGUGUGUGCGUGUGUGUGUGUGUGUAUUAAACAGUUAGCACCUUUUUUUGUAAUGACUGGAUGUCAGAAAUAGUAACACUUUUGAGUGUUAUGCUGUGGCACAGAAUCAGUUCAUCAGCUGCUUGUUACUCGUUUCAUUAAUGACGUCACAUUGACUGUGUUUACCUGACGAGCUUUGGUGUUGCAAUAUGAUAGUUUAGCACUGCUUUUAACAGUGGGUAUUUUAUAUUUUAUCACACCCUUUACUAUCUGUCUUCCUAUGAUGUGGAAAACACAUAUCUAUCCCGCAGUGUGAGCUAACUGCAACAUGUUUAGAGAGUACAGCAAUACACCAUAUUUAGCUGAUUUUGUUGGCUUGCUGAUAUUUUGAUAUCGAUGUGUCUUCUCGAAAUUGUAUGGCUUUUUUUCCCACUCCCCUUCUUUUAUUAAUUUGCUUUAAAAAAAAUGCUUUUUACAUAUGAUGAAAUCUACACAAAAAAGGUUGAGAAACUUUGUAGACCACAAACAACAUUUAUGGGACAACAAGGCAUAUGUAUGUGUGUUUGUUUCUGUAUUUAGUGCACUUACUAUACCAUGAAAUAGGCUUGAAAUAGGAGUGUUGUUGGAGCUUUCUAGUUACCUGGACUGUGUGUGGUGUGACUUUUGUACCUGGGGAAACAGCAGGCUCAAGUGUCUUCCCUUUGUCAGCAAUGUUAUUUCCAAAACCAAGAUUAUUCCUUAGAAAUUCCCCUAGACAGCUGAAGAAGUUUACACUUUUUAUUUGGUGGUUUGUUUUGUAUGCUACCUAGUUCAAAAGCAGGAAAUGGCAUCCAGCUCUGUUGUUGGGGUCAUUGUGAUGAGUUUUAAGAGAUGAUGUUGUAGCUCAUAACUGUUUAUGGUAUAUAGGUAACAAAUUAAAUGAGACUAAUGAUGUAUUAAAGAUUUCCAUAUCUGAAAUUAAGCUGUAUAGUACCUAACAUUGGAGGAUUCAACACCUCCUUUGAGUCUGAACUGUUACAAUUUUUUCUCCCAAACUUGUUGUAUUACCUGUGCAUUAGUAUCCCUUAACUAAUUAAUAAAAGUUUGUUGACUAAA
Astatotilapia calliptera (eastern happy) is the source of this 2334-nucleotide long non-coding RNA. The record is from Ensembl. Lineage: Eukaryota; Metazoa; Chordata; Actinopteri; Cichliformes; Cichlidae.